UACGUAGGUGGCAAGCGUUGUCCGGAAUUAUUGGGCGUAAAGCGCGCGCAGGCGGUCCUUUACGUCUGAUGUGAAAGCCCACGGCUCAACCGUGGAGGGUCAUUGGAAACUGGGGGACUUGAGUACAGAAGAGAAGAGUGGAAUUCCACGUGUAGCGGUGAAAUGCGUAGAUAUCUGGAGGAACACCGGUGGCGAAGGCGGCAUCCUGGACCGGCAUUGACGCUGAUGAGCGAAAGCCAGGGGAGCAAACGGG
This 253-nucleotide ribosomal RNA is filed under the name uncultured bacterium. RNAcentral describes it as "partial 16S ribosomal RNA". It matches the Rfam family "Bacterial small subunit ribosomal RNA", at positions 524 to 776 of the family's 1533-position model. The record is from RNAcentral.